GUGUCAGCAGCCGCGGUAAUACGUAGGGUGCGAGCGUUAAUCGGAAUUACUGGGCGUAAAGCGUGCGCAGGCGGUUUGUUAAGUCUGAUGUGAAAGCCCCGGGCUCAACCUGGGAACUGCAUUGGAAACUGGCAAGCUCGAGUAUGGCAGAGGGGGGUGGAAUUCCGCGUGUAGCAGUGAAAUGCGUAGAGAUGCGGAGGAACACCGAUGGCGAAGGCAGCCCCCUGGGCCAAUACUGACGCUCAGGCACGAAAGCGUGGGGAGCAAACAGGAUUAGAUACCCUGGUAGUCC
This 292-nucleotide ribosomal RNA is filed under the name uncultured bacterium. Its description in RNAcentral is "partial 16S ribosomal RNA". It matches the Rfam family "Bacterial small subunit ribosomal RNA", at positions 505 to 796 of the family's 1533-position model. The record is from RNAcentral.